AGUGAACGCUGGCGGUAUGCCUAACACGUGCAAGUCGAACGGCAGCACAGUAAGAGCUUGCUCUUACGGGUGGCGAGUGGCGGACGGGUGAGGAAUACAUCGGAAUCUACUUUUUCGUGGGGGAUAACGUAGGGAAACUUACGCUAAUACCGCAUACGACCUACGGGUGAAAGCAGGGGAUCUUCGGACCUUGCGCGAUUGAAUGAGCCGAUGUCGGAUUAGCUAAUUGGCGGGGUAAAGGCCCACCAAGGCGACGAUCCGUAGCUGGUCUGAGAGGAUGAUCAGCCACACUGGAACUGAGACACGGUCCAGACUCCUACGGGAGGCAGCAGUGGGGAAUAUUGGACAAUGGGCGCAAGCCUGAUCCAGCAAUACCGCGUGGGUGAAGAAGGCCUUCGGGUUGUAAAGCCCUUUUGUUGGGAAAGAAAAGCAGCAGGUUAAUACCCCGAUGUUCUGACGGUACCUAAAGAAUAAGCACCGGCUAACUUCGUG
RNAcentral lists this ribosomal RNA (492 nucleotides) under uncultured bacterium. RNAcentral's name for it is "partial 16S ribosomal RNA". It matches the Rfam family "Bacterial small subunit ribosomal RNA", at positions 29 to 507 of the family's 1533-position model. The record is from RNAcentral.